GUGCCUCUAAUCGAAUGAGGCCGCUGUGGCAGACGACUGUGACCUCUUCUGAAGACGAUGGUGGGCUCUUGCGCAGCAUUUGGCUGCGCAAAUCGCGUGAAGCAAACACCGGGGAUAACUUUUCACGUGUUUCCCAAAGACUGCGAAUUGCGCAGUGCAUGGGAGCGCGCUGUGAGGCGAGAAGGUUGGACUCCGAAGAAGAAUGACGUCUUGUGUUCAACGCACUUUGAAGCAGACUGCUUCGAUAGAACAGGGCAAACAACGAGACUACGAGCUGGUAGCAUCCCUACCAAGUUUGCAGCGUUUCCAGCGCACCUACAAAA
This is a long non-coding RNA of Rhipicephalus microplus (southern cattle tick), 323 nucleotides long. Lineage: Eukaryota; Metazoa; Arthropoda; Arachnida; Ixodida; Ixodidae. The record is from RefSeq and is a predicted model, not a curated record.